CAUGCUUGUCUCAAAGAUUAAGCCAUGCAUGUCUCAGUACUUGCUAUAACAAGGCGAAACCGCGAAUGGCUCAUUAAAUCAGUUAUGGUUCACUAGAUCGUACCGUUUACACGGAUAACUGUGGUAAUUCUAGAGCUAAUACGUGCAACCAGCUCGUUUCCUCGUGAAGCGAGCGCAGUUAUUAGAACAAGACCAAUCCGGCCUUCGGGUCGGUAACUUGGUGACUCUGAAUAACCGAAGCAGAGCGCAUGGUCUCGUACCGGCGCCAGAUCUUUCAAGUGUCUGACUUAUCAGCUUGUUGUUAGGUUAUGUUCCUAACAAGGCUAUUACGGGUGACGGGGUAUCAGGGUCCGAUACCGGAGAGGGAGCCUGAGAAACGGCUACCACAUCCAAGGAAGGCAGCAGGCGCGCAAAUUACCCACUCCCAGCACGGGGAGGUAGUGACGAAAAAUAACGAUGCGAGGGCUUUAUGCCUCUCGCAAUCGGAAUGGGUACACUUUAAAUCCUUAANC
RNAcentral lists this ribosomal RNA (512 nucleotides) under Tardigrada environmental sample. Its description in RNAcentral is "SSU rRNA". It matches the Rfam family "Eukaryotic small subunit ribosomal RNA", at positions 28 to 538 of the family's 1831-position model. The record is from RNAcentral. Lineage: Eukaryota; Metazoa; Tardigrada.